GGGGAUCGUUUUGGUUUUUGGUUGCUUGCAUGGUGUUAGYGCCAAGCAGGUGGUUUUAAGCUAAAUGUUCUUCGGGGAUGUCGACCGUAAAGGUGCAUGAGUGGUGUUUGGUUAGUUACGGGUGGUUGGAUGUCUGUUUGCGCAGCAACUUCCAUGCGUUCUUACCUCUUCAGUCGUGCUACAAGGCUUCAUCUGCUUUGUGCACCCGGUGGGUUUCUGUGUUGCAUACCUAAAGAAAGGCAUCAUGUGGCUAGAUCAAAGCUUAUUUUCGUAAUGCGUCGUUUGCGGCGUUGAACGAACCUUGAAGCGGUCUCCAUGGUCCUUACCGUUGUUGCCCGUUCAACGAUGGCAUGGCCUUUGGAGCGUCGUUUGGUCUCUUGGAUAUAGAACCUGAUGUGGGCUGUAGGGUCUUUGUUGAUUCUACUUUUGCCCUUGUUUAGCGUUCUCGCUUCUCUAAACGACUGUCUGUCAUGUGCUGGCUUGUCCGUGCAUGGUGGGCUGUGUCGAAGAGGAAUGC
This 517-nucleotide unclassified non-coding RNA is filed under the name Glyptopleura marginata. RNAcentral describes it as "partial external transcribed spacer". The record is from RNAcentral. Lineage: Eukaryota; Viridiplantae; Streptophyta; Magnoliopsida; Asterales; Asteraceae.